UCCGGUUUGGCACCGGCAGUCUUCCUAGAGUCCCCGCCAUUACCCGCUGGCAACUAAGGGCAGGGGUUGCGCUCGUUGCGGCACUUAACCCAACAUCUCACGACACGAGCUGACGACAGCCAUGCACCACCUGCACACAGACCACAAGGGAACUGAUAUCUCUACCAGCGUCCUGUGCAUGUCAAGUCCAGGUAAGGUUCUUCGCGUUGCAUCGAAUUAAAGAACAUGCUCCGCUGCUUGUGCGGGCCCCCGUCAAUUCUUUUGAGUUUUAGCCUUGCGGCCGUACUCCCCAGGCGGGACACUUAACGCGUUAACUGCGGCACAGAGGGAUUCGACUCCCCCCACACCUAGUGUCCAUCGUUUACGGCUAGGACUAC
This 377-nucleotide unclassified non-coding RNA is filed under the name uncultured Rubrobacterales bacterium. RNAcentral's name for it is "contains 16S-23S intergenic spacer region". The record is from RNAcentral. Lineage: Bacteria; Bacillati; Actinomycetota; Rubrobacteria; Rubrobacterales.